GACGAACGCUGGCGGCGUGCUUAACACAUGCAAGUCGAACGGAAAGGCCCUGCUUUUGUGGGGUGCUCGAGUGGCGAACGGGUGAGUAACACGUGAGUAACCUGCCCUUGACUUUGGGAUAACUUCAGGAAACUUGGGCUAAUACCGGAUAGGAGCUCCUGCUGCAUGGUGGGGGUUGGAAAGUUUCGGCGGUUGGGGAUUGACUCGCGGCUUAUCAGCUUGUUGGUGGGGUAGUGGCUUACCAAGGCUUUGACGGGUAGCCGGCCUGAGAGGGUGACCGGCGACAUUGGGACUGAGAUACGGCCCAGACUCCUACGGGAGGCAGCAGUGGGGAAUAUUGCACAAUGGGCGGAAGCCUGAUGAAGAAACGCCGCGUGCGGGAUGACGGCCUUCGGGUUGUAAACCGCUUUCGCCUGUGACGAAGCGUGAGUGACGGUAAUGGGUAAAGAAGCACCGGCUAACUACGUG
RNAcentral lists this ribosomal RNA (468 nucleotides) under uncultured bacterium. Its description in RNAcentral is "partial 16S ribosomal RNA". It matches the Rfam family "Bacterial small subunit ribosomal RNA", at positions 28 to 507 of the family's 1533-position model. The record is from RNAcentral.